UCUACAUUCUUAUCUUCUUUGCCUGCAUUUGUUAAAAUUCAGUAAUAAAAUAAGCAAUCAAUGAUCAAUAAUUCAUCAAUUGCUAUCUUAUAUCAAAGCUCAUCCCAACACUAAUGUUAGAUUGCUGACACACGAUUAGUGACAAUGUUCGUAUAGGCACAACAGGAUAACAAAUCCAUCAAAUUUCUUUUAGCAACUGUAGCAUGAUCUUUUCAAUUUUUUAAGUUUCAUUAGUGACAACAAAUAAGAACAGCAUGUGAUGACUCUCUCUAACAGAUGCCCAUAGAUCAAGGCAAUAUGAACAAUGAACACAUUUAUAUGGAGGGAAUGAGUCUCCAUUCUCUUUUCCCACUUUGUUAUUCAUAUAACUUGAUAGGGCCUUAAAAUAGCAGACAUUCAGUCGUAAGAGUACUUCAAAAUUAAAAAACCAAAAUUUUACUUUUUCUUUAGCCAUUACUGUCUUUAGAGCACAGAAGACUCAGAGAUUUCUACCUCAAGAUACGUAGGUGUGUGCUUGUACAAAUUGACAAUGUAUAGCUGCUUACUCAGCAGCCUCAUUAGAGUACUGGAGACCCAGUCCUCAAGAAGUAAUACAAUCUCGAGUGAAACGUAGGUAGUACUUUACAAACAAACACCCGAGAUUGUAUUACUUCUUGAGGA
RNAcentral lists this unclassified non-coding RNA (660 nucleotides) under Hevea brasiliensis (rubber tree). The record is from RNAcentral. Lineage: Eukaryota; Viridiplantae; Streptophyta; Magnoliopsida; Malpighiales; Euphorbiaceae.